GUUAUUUGUGUUGAAUAAAAAAAGAGUGGCAAUAAGUAGUUAUUUCAAAGGUGGAAAAGUGUCUACACGAAUACAACAAGAGUCACACAAAGCCAACAAAUACAAUCGGUGUUCGCAUUGGGUAUAUCGCAACUAACUUUGUGGGAAAAAUUUGUUUCUUGAUCCAUUUAUUUUCCAUCACGAAAACAACCUGCAGCUAUGUGUAGAUUAAGAAAGUAGCUUCAGCCAUGAGAUGCCUCAUUACUAUGAUGUUAAAACAAAAACCAAGGCUUUAAACCAGCGAUCAUACAAAUUCAUUAUGUAUCUAUACCACUUGUGUUCAUAUUUACAAUUAUGAC
This 338-nucleotide long non-coding RNA is filed under the name Medicago truncatula (barrel medic). RNAcentral's name for it is "lncRNA gene17399". The record is from RNAcentral. Lineage: Eukaryota; Viridiplantae; Streptophyta; Magnoliopsida; Fabales; Fabaceae.